GGAGUCAUGCCUGAAAUAAAGGGCCACUUUGAUAGAGUGAAUCAUGGGGGUUAAAUUCCCCCUGACUCCU
Molecule: transfer RNA, 70 nt
Filed under: Plesiops nakaharae
Lineage: Eukaryota; Metazoa; Chordata; Actinopteri; Plesiopidae
Description: tRNA-Ile
Rfam family: tRNA
About the family: Transfer RNA (tRNA) molecules are approximately 80 nucleotides in length.
Source: RNAcentral